RNAcentral lists this ribosomal RNA (403 nucleotides) under Verrucomicrobiota bacterium. Its description in RNAcentral is "Verrucomicrobia bacterium partial 16S ribosomal RNA". It matches the Rfam family "Bacterial small subunit ribosomal RNA", at positions 355 to 776 of the family's 1533-position model. The record is from RNAcentral. Lineage: Bacteria; Pseudomonadati; Verrucomicrobiota.
UGGGGAAUAUUGCACAAUGGAGGGAACUCUGAUGCAGCGACGCCGCGUGAACGAAGAAGGCUUUCGAGUCGUAAAGUUCUUUUAUAUGGGAAGAUAAUGACGGUACCAUAAGAAAAAGCCCCGGCUAACUACGUGCCAGCAGUCGCGGUAAUACGUAGGGGGCUAGCGCUGUCCGGAAUCACUGGGCGUAAAGGGUUCGCAGGCGGAAAUGCAAGUCAGGUGUAAAAGGCAGUAGCUUAACUACUGUAAGCAUUUGAAACUGCAUAUCUUGAGAAGAGUAGAGGUAAGUGGAAUUUUUAGUGUAGCGGUGAAAUGCGUAGAUAUUAAAAAGAAUACCGGUGGCGAAGGCGACUUACUGGGCUCAUUCUGACGCUGAGGAACGAAAGCGUGGGUAGCAAACAGG